Long non-coding RNA from Trichoplusia ni (cabbage looper), 540 nucleotides. RefSeq lists it as uncharacterized. The transcript has 2 exons. Lineage: Eukaryota; Metazoa; Arthropoda; Insecta; Lepidoptera; Noctuidae. The record is from RefSeq and is a predicted model, not a curated record.
UUGCACUGAUUUUGUUAUCAGAAAAGAAACACAUCAGCAAGUACCUUUGUAUCAAACAAUUACAGUUUUAUAGCUUUUCUGAUUGUUUUCUGUUUAUCGUUUCUGAGGAAUUAUAAAUUGGAUUUGCUUUUUAAAAUGGGCGCCUUUCAUUACUUCAAUUCGAUUCAGGAGCAGUAGUGAAAAAGGUACGAUGUUUGUUUAAAUACCUUUUUUAGUUUUCAGGUCUUGUGCUUGUAUUGUAAUAUCUAAUUGGACUAUAAGAAACCAUCUGGAAAAUUCAAAGAGUGCUGCGAUCAUUAGCUCGGAUAUCAUGGUGGCGGUGGACCUGCUGUGACCCUGGAGAGAGGACUGCCAUCACCAGACAUGGAAACACUCAAUCUUGGUUCGCGAGGACACUCACUCUUGAUUGAGUAUUUGAGUCAUUGUGACUCUUAGCUACUUCGGGAGUCAAGUUACGUUGGUGUAGCGAUGUAUUGGGGCAUCGCAAAUCACUGUUACUAGGCUAAGCGUCGUCAGUAUUAAAAGCAUGCCUUGAUCCUA